Molecule: ribosomal RNA, 615 nt
Filed under: Danio rerio (zebrafish)
Lineage: Eukaryota; Metazoa; Chordata; Actinopteri; Cypriniformes; Danionidae
Description: partial 16S ribosomal RNA
Rfam family: Bacterial large subunit ribosomal RNA
Source: RNAcentral
CGCCUCUUUAUCAAAAACAUCGCCUCCUGACAUCCCAAUAUAGGAGGUCCAGCCUGCCCAGUGACAAUAGUUUAACGGCCGCGGUAUUUUGACCGUGCAAAGGUAGCGCAAUCACUCGUCCUUUAAAUAGGGACCUGUAUGAAUGGCCAAACGAGGGCUUAACUGUCUCCCCCAUCAAGUCAGUGAAAUUGAUCUAUCCGUGCAGAAGCGGAUAUAAUAAUACAAGACGAGAAGACCCUUUGGAGCUUAAGGUACAAGAUUUAAUUUACAUCAAGCAAACCAAUAAAAGUGAUUAAACUAGUAAAAGAUAAACCUCUACCUUCGGUUGGGGCGACCACGGAGUAAAAAACAACCUCCAAGCGGAACGGGCACAGCCCUAAAACCAAGAGAAACAUCUCUAAGCCUCAGAACACCUGACCAAAGACGAUCCGGCCUAUAAGCCGAUCAACGAACCAAGUUACCCUAGGGAUAACAGCGCAAUCCUCUCUAAGAGUCCAUAUCGACGAGGGGGUUUACGACCUCGAUGUUGGAUCAGGACAUCCUAAUGGUGCAGCCGCUAUUAAGGGUUCGUUUGUUCAACGAUUAAUAGUCCUACGUGAUCUGAGUUCAGACCGG